Molecule: ribosomal RNA, 468 nt
Filed under: uncultured bacterium
Lineage: Bacteria
Description: partial 16S ribosomal RNA
Rfam family: Bacterial small subunit ribosomal RNA
Source: RNAcentral
GACGAACGCUGGCGGCGUGCUUAACACAUGCAAGUCGAACGGAAAGGCCCUGCUUUUGUGGGGUGCUCGAGUGGCGCACGGGUGAGUAACACGUGAGUAACCUGCCCUUGACUUUGGGAUAACUUCAGGAAACUGGGGCUAAUACCGGAUAUGAUCUCCUGCUGCAUGGUGGGGGUUGGAAAGUUUCGGCGGUUGGGGAUGGACUCGCGGCUUAUCAGCUUGUUGGUGGGGUAGUGGCUUACCAAGGCUUUGACGGGUAGCCGGCCUGAGAGGGUGACCGGCAACAUGGGGACUGAGAGAGGGACCAGACUCCUACGGGAGGCAGCAGGGGGGAAUAUUGCACAAUGGGCGGAAGCCUGAGGCAGAAACGCCGCGUGCGGGAUGACGGCCUUCGGGUGGUAAACAGAUGUCGCAUGUGACGAAGCGUGAGUGACGGUAAUGGGUAAAGAAGCACCGGCUAACUACGUG